This is a long non-coding RNA of Argiope bruennichi, 618 nucleotides long. RefSeq lists it as uncharacterized. The record is from RefSeq and is a predicted model, not a curated record. NCBI's taxonomy places the organism in Eukaryota, Metazoa, Arthropoda, Arachnida, Araneae, Araneidae. The transcript has 5 exons.
CGUUUUCGUUUCUCGUUUCGUUUUUGUUUUUUUUUUUGUUUUUUUUAACACCAUUUAGUUUUGAAGGCCUACCGAAUCUUAAUGACUCGCAUCCUUAAUGAAUUACUCCUUUAAUAGAAAAAGAAGGUUUUAUCUUUUCUUUGUUCCUGGCCUAAUUGUAUUGAAAUAGUAGUUAUCUGGAUGAUUUGAAACUGAAAAGUCUAAUAGUGGAAGACUUCUGAAUUCUAGUGUGAAAACAUUUUCUCCAGAUGUAGAUGAUUGUUUACUAAUUCCCCCCCCCCCUAAGUAAUUUAUUAUUUGGUCUCUUUUCAUUCCUUGAUGAUGCUUUUGGAUUUGACUUAAGAAAUUUCUGAAAAUUUUUAAUAUUGAUUGAUGAAAUAUGUCAUGGCUUAAUGGAUAGAUGCAGAUGAAAACAAAUCUUCCUGGUGAUUGUAGGUGUUAUGAAAAACUUCGAAAUGGUAAUGAAAAGAUGGACUAUCUUCAUAAACAAUCCCCCUCUACAUUACCAUUCCUAGUUUCACAUUGACUAGGGAGGUCAUAUAUAUCGGAACCUCAGAAUCCACCUCAGCACCUUUGUAUUUCCAAAGAAAAGAAGAGAUUCAUUAAUUCUGUGUAUUC